Lactuca sativa (garden lettuce) is the source of this 1811-nucleotide non-coding RNA. Lineage: Eukaryota; Viridiplantae; Streptophyta; Magnoliopsida; Asterales; Asteraceae. The record is from RefSeq and is a predicted model, not a curated record.
CGCCCCCAGACACACACACACACACCAUCCCCUCUGUCCAAUACGACCUUCUUCCUUCUCUUGCUUGUCGAUUAAUUCCAAGUACAGAAACGAUUGCUGACUUUUCAUCAGUGUGAAUCAUUUCCAUAAUAGUAGCAGAGCGGUCGAAGUGUGUUUGAAGUGGAUUGGUCGAAGUGUUCAUCACUGUUGAAGUGGAUUUCUAUUAAAAGGUAUGCAAUGGUUUCUUUCCUCCUGUUCUUUUACUAUCGACUUCCAACACUCCUUGUAGGUUCAUUUUGAAACUGCUUUUUUAAAAAUGUUAUUUUAAUACAUACCAAGUGUUUGAUGAAAUGACUGAAUGACUUUUUCUUUAUUCAAAUUUAAUGCCACAUUAGCUGUAUGGUUUGUUCAUAACGCUGUGUUUAGAAUUCAUAGAGUAUUAGAAACAAAGAAUAUUUAAAAGAGAUAAGUACCCAUCACCAAAUAUUUGUCAAUUCUGAGUUUCUGACCCAAAAAGUGUACACACCCAAUACAAUAUGAAAGUAGUUAUGGUUCCCGGGCAAUAACAGUUUCACUUGAACUAAAUUUGCAUGUUAUUAUUGUUAGUUAAUCUUCUGAUGAUGUCUUUUAAAAAAAAAAUUGUUCAACAUUAAAUAUCAUGUCUUUGAAAAAAAGUUUGAUGCCCAUCAAUGUGGAGAACCUUUGUGUUAGGUUGUUUGCAGUUACAAUUUUCAUAAAUUAAAUAAUUUGCAACAUUUUUCAUUAUCUAUAGAGAAUCCAUGAUACUACAGGUGCCAUUUUGGUUCUUGCAAUACACAUGGAAGAAUUAUUGAGAUGAAGAAGCUUUUUAUAUAACAUUAAUUGAUUCUAUGUAUAAAAAAGAAAUCAUAUUUGACCUCUGACAAAGAGAGUAAGCAGAGAGGAAAGGUACCCUGUUUGGGUUUCUAAUGAUACAUAUUCCAUUCCAUUUAAGAAACCAAUUGUGUGUAAACAAAUUUAAAUCACUAUAAAGCUGGAGGAUUGAAAAAGGGACAGGAACAACCUCCACAAUUAUCUAAAAUAUGUGACGUGUAAUCUGCAUAAUCCAUACUUGUGAAUUGAGAAAAAAAAAACAUUAUGAAUAUCGUUGUGGAGGUCCUCUUUUAUGUGACAUCAUAUUUAUUAUUAUACUCAUAGGUUAUGCCAUAUGAUGUUCAAAUGAAAUGAAGGAAAAUGAGACAUCAAAUAGUAAGAAGUUUCAAGUCCAAUCUUUCAAAGUGAACUGAAAUGAGUACUAAUAAUUAAGAGCAUGUAACUUUUAUUUGAAUUAAUGAGUCCAGUCUUUCAAGUCCUGGACUAAUACUAUAUUUUCGAGUCGUGAAGCUUCUAAACGGAUAUCAAUCUUCACUAAUUAUUAUUUAUUUAUUUUAUCUAUUACAUAAUGAUUUAAGAAAACAUAUGAGAAGUUUCAUAACAAAAAGGCAUUCAAAUAAAUACAUAUUAUCAGGAUGCAUAUAGGAAACAAGACAAAAGCAAAUAACAUUCAAAAUACACUAAUAUCAAGCCUUCAUCAACAGAUUUGAAACUUGGUGCAUUGUUGGUCUUUCUUUUGGAUUGGAGUUCAAACACGCUCUAGAGAGAUUGAGUACCAUAUUAACUUUUUUCUCAAUUUGUGGUGAAGGAAGUGGAAUUCGACUAUCUCCAACAUUUGCUAACACCAGAUAAUCAACAGACAAUGUUGGUAGUUCACCAGGAUGCUUUCCCAUUAUCACUUCUAGUGCCACGAUCCCAAAGCUAUACACAUCGCAUUUCUCCGUCACCACCAUCGUAUAAGCAAGCUCUACAUCCAAAAA